UGGGCUAUCCCGAGUGCCAGCCGCUAAGGCUGGCUUUUCCCCAGAGUAAAAACCUGGGGGAAUAAGCGGGGGGCAAGACUGGUGUCAGCCGCCGCGGUAAUACCAGCUCCGCGAGUGGUCGGGACGAUUAUUGAGCCUAAAGCGCUCGUAGCCGGUCCGGUAAGUCCUGUGCUAAAUCCAACGGCUCAACCGUUGGGCCGCAUGGGAUACUGCCGGGCUAGGGAGCGGAAGAGGCCAGGGGUACUCCGGGGGUAGGGGCGAAAUCCUAUAAUCCCAGGAGGACCACCAGUGGCGGAGGCGCUCGGCUGGAACGCGCCCGACGGUGAGGGGCGAAAGCUGGGGGAGCAAAGGGGAUUAGAUACCCCUGUAGUCCCAGCUGUAAACUAUGCGGGCUGGCUGUUGGGUGGGCUUAGAGCCCGCCCAGUGGCGUAGGGAAGCCGUUAAGCCCGCCGCCUGGGGAGUACGGCCGCAAGGCUGAAACUUAAAGGAAUUGGCGGGGGAGCACCACAAGGGGUGAAGCCUGCGGCUCAAUUGGAGUCAACUCCGGGAACCUUACCAGGUGCGACAGCAGAAUGAGGGCCAAGCUGACGACUUUGCCCGACACGCUGAGAGGUGGCGCAUGGCCGUCGCCAGCUCGUGCCGUGAGGUGUCUGGUUAAGUCCAGGAACGAGCGAGACCCUUACCUUUAGUUGCUACCGCGAAAGCGGGCACACUAGAGGGACCGCCACCGUUAAGGUGGAGGAAGGAGGGGGCAACGGCAGGUCAGCAUGCCCCGAAUCACCUGGGCCGCACGCGGGCUGCAAUGGUGGAGACAAUGGGAUCCGAACCCGAAAGGGGGAGGUAAUCCUUGAAACUCCACCGUAGUUGGGAUCGAGGGCUGCAACCCGCCCUCGUGAACCUGGAAUCCCCAGUAAUCGCGUGUCAUCAUCGCGCGGUGAACAAGUCCCCGCUCCUU
RNAcentral lists this ribosomal RNA (955 nucleotides) under uncultured archaeon. RNAcentral's name for it is "bacterial SSU rRNA". It matches the Rfam family "Archaeal small subunit ribosomal RNA", at positions 372 to 1338 of the family's 1478-position model. The record is from RNAcentral.